UAGGGAAUCUUCCACAAUGGACGCAAGUCUGAUGGAGCAACGCCGCGUGAGUGAAGAAGGUUUUCGGACCGUAAAGCUCUGUUGUUGGUGAAGAAAGAUAGAGGUAGUAACUGGCCUUUAUUUGACGGUAAUCAACCAGAAAGUCACGGCUAACUACGUGCCAGCAGCCGCGGUAAUACGUAGGUGGCAAGCGUUGUCCGGAUUUAUUGGGCGUAAAGCGAGCGCAGGCGGAAGAAUAAGUCUGAUGUGAAAGCCCUCGGCUUAACCGAGGAAUUGCAUCGGAAACUGUUUUCUUGAGUGCAGAAGAGGAGAGUAGAACUCCAUGUGUAGCGGUGGAAUGCGUAGAUAUAUGGAAGAAUACCAGUGGCGAAGGCGGCUCUCUGGUCUGCAACUGACGCUGAGGCUCGAAAGCAUGGGUAGCGAACAGGAUUAGAUACCCUGGUAGUCCAUGCCGUAAACGAUGAGUGCUAAGUGUUGGGAGGCUUCCGCCUCUCAGUGCUGCAGCUAACGCAUUAAGCACUCCGCCUGGGGGAGUACGACCGCAAGGUUGAAAC
This 554-nucleotide ribosomal RNA is filed under the name uncultured bacterium. Its description in RNAcentral is "partial 16S ribosomal RNA". It matches the Rfam family "Bacterial small subunit ribosomal RNA", at positions 355 to 900 of the family's 1533-position model. The record is from RNAcentral.